GAGUUUGAUCCUGGCUCAGGAUGAACGCUAGCUACAGGCUUAACACAUGCAAGUCGAGGGGCAUCAGGAAGAAAGCUUGCUUUCUUUGCCGGCGACCGGCGCACGGGUGAGUAACACGUAUCCAACCUGCCCUUUACUCGGGGAUAGCCUUUCGAAAGAAAGAUUAAUACCCGAUGGCAUAAUGAUUCCGCAUGGUUUCAUUAUUAAAGGAUUCCGGUAAAGGAUGGGGAUGCGUUCCAUUAGGUUGUUGGUGAGGUAACGGCCCACCAAGCCUUCGAUGGAUAGGGGUUCUGAGAGGAAGGUCCCCCACAUUGGAACUGAGACACGGUCCAAACUCCUACGGGAGGCAGCAGUGAGGAAUAUUGGUCAAUGGGCGCUAGCCUGAACCAGCCAAGUAGCGUGAAGGAUGAAGGCUCUAUGGGUCGUAAACUUCUUUUAUAUAAGAAUAAAGUGCAGUAUGUAUACUGUUUUGUAUGUAUUAUAUGAAUAAGGAUCGGCUAACUCCGUGCCAGCAGCCGCGGUAAUACGGAGGAUCCGAGCGUUAUCCGGAUUUAUUGGGUUUAAAGGGAGCGUAGGUGGACUGGUAAGUCAGUUGUGAAAGUUUGCGGCUCAACCGUAAAAUUGCAGUUGAUACUGUCAGUCUUGAGUACAGUAGAGGUGGGCGGAAUUCGUGGUGUAGCGGUGAAAUGCUUAGAUAUCACGAAGAACUCCGAUUGCGAAGGCAGCUCACUGGACUGCAACUGACACUGAUGCUCGAAAGUGUGGGUAUCAAACAGGAUUAGAUACCCUGGUAGUCCACACAGUAAACGAUGAAUACUCGCUGUUUGCGAUAUACAGUAAGCGGCCAAGCGAAAGCAUUAAGUAUUCCACCUGGGGAGUACGCCGGCAACGGUGAAACUCAAAGGAAUUGACGGGGGCCCGCACAAGCGGAGGAACAUGUGGUUUAAUUCGAUGAUACGCGAGGAACCUUACCCGGGCUUAAAUUGCAGUGGAAUGAUGUGGAAACAUGUCAGUGAGCAAUCACCGCUGUGAAGGUGCUGCAUGGUUGUCGUCAGCUCGUGCCGUGAGGGGUCGGCUUAAGUGCCAUAACGAGCGCAACCCUUAUCUUUAGUUACUAACAGGUUAUGCUGAGGACUCUAGAGAGACUGCCGUCGUAAGAUGUGAGGAAGGUGGGGAUGACGUCAAAUCAGCACGGCCCUUACGUCCGGGGCUACACACGUGUUACAAUGGGGGGUACAGAAGGCAGCUAGCGGGUGACCGUAUGCUAAUCCCAAAAGCCUCUCUCAGUUCGGAUCGAAGUCUGCAACCCGACUUCGUGAAGCUGGAUUCGCUAGUAAUCGCGCAUCAGCCACGGCGCGGUGAAUACGUUCCCGGGCCUUGUACACACCGCCCGUCAAGCCAUGGGAGCCGGGGGUACCUGAAGUACGUAACCGCAAGGAUCGUCCUAGGGUAAAACUGGUGACUGGGGCUAAGUCGUAACAAGGUAGCCGUACCGGAAGGUGCGGCUGGAACACC
This 1515-nucleotide ribosomal RNA is filed under the name Bacteroides fragilis str. S6L5. Its description in RNAcentral is "bacterial SSU rRNA". It matches the Rfam family "Bacterial small subunit ribosomal RNA". The record is from RNAcentral. Lineage: Bacteria; Pseudomonadati; Bacteroidota; Bacteroidia; Bacteroidales; Bacteroidaceae.